AUUGAACGCUGGCGGCAUGCCUUACACAUGCAAGUCGAACGGCAGCACGGGAGCAAUCCUGGUGGCGAGUGGCGAACGGGUGAGUAAUAUAUCGGAACGUGCCCAGUCGUGGGGGAUAACGUAGCGAAAGCUACGCUAAUACCGCAUACGAUCUACGGAUGAAAGCGGGGGAUCGCAAGACCUCGCGCGAUUGGAGCGGCCGAUAUCAGAUUAGUUAGUUGGUGGGGUAAAAGCUCACCAAGGCGACGAUCUGUAGCUGGUCUGAGAGGACGACCAGCCACACUGGAACUGAGACACGGUCCAGACUCCUACGGGAGGCAGCAGUGGGGAAUUUUGGACAAUGGGCGCAAGCCUGAUCCAGCAAUGCCGCGUGCAGGAUGAAGGCCUUCGGGUUGUAAACUGCUUUUGUACGGUACGAAACGGUGAGCUCUAAUAAAGCUUGCUAAUGACGGUACCGUAAGAAUAAGCACCGGCUAACUACGUGCC
Molecule: ribosomal RNA, 486 nt
Filed under: uncultured bacterium
Lineage: Bacteria
Description: bacterial SSU rRNA
Rfam family: Bacterial small subunit ribosomal RNA
Source: RNAcentral